This 370-nucleotide ribosomal RNA is filed under the name uncultured organism. Its description in RNAcentral is "partial 16S ribosomal RNA". It matches the Rfam family "Bacterial small subunit ribosomal RNA", at positions 527 to 896 of the family's 1533-position model. The record is from RNAcentral.
GUAGGUGGCAAGCGUUGUCCGGAAUUAUUGGGCGUAAAGCGCGCGCAGGCGGCUCUUUAAGUCUGAUGUGAAAGCCCACGGCUCAACCGUGGAGGGUCAUUGGAAACUGGAGAACUUGAGUACAGAAGAGGAAAGCGGAAUUCCACGUGUAGCGGUGAAAUGCGUAGAGAUGUGGAGGAACACCAGUGGCGAAGGCGGCUUUCUGGUCUGUAACUGACGCUGAGGCGCGAAAGCGUGGGGGAGCAAACAGGAUUAGAUACCCUGGUAGUCCACGCCGUAAACGAUGAGUGCUAAGUGUUAGGGGGUUUCCGCCCUUAGUGCUGCAGUUAACGCAUUAAGCACUCCGCCUGGGAGUACGGCCGCAAGGCUG